This 516-nucleotide ribosomal RNA is filed under the name uncultured bacterium. RNAcentral's name for it is "bacterial SSU rRNA". It matches the Rfam family "Bacterial small subunit ribosomal RNA", at positions 978 to 1503 of the family's 1533-position model. The record is from RNAcentral.
GGCUCAAACGUUGCAGGAAGGGUGUCUGAAAGGAUGCCCGUCUACGGACCUGCGACGAGGUGCUGCAUGGUUGUCGUCAGCUCGUGCCGUGAGGUGUCGGCUUAAGUGCCAUAACGAGCGCAACCCCUACCGCCAGUUGCCAACAGGCAAAGCUGGGGACUCUGGCGGGACUGCCGGCGCAAGCUGCGAGGAAGGCGGGGAUGACGUCAAAUCAGCACGGCCCUUACGUCCGGGGCGACACACGUGUUACAAUGGCAGGUACAGCGGGAAGCCACCUGGCGACAGGGAGCGGAACCCGAAAGCCUGUCUCAGUUCGGAUUGGAGUCUGCAACCCGACUCCAUGAAGCUGGAUUCGCUAGUAAUCGCGCAUCAGCCACGGCGCGGUGAAUACGUUCCCGGGCCUUGUACACACCGCCCGUCAAGCCAUGGGAGUCGGGAGUGCCUGAAGUGCGUGAGCGCGAGCAGCGCCCUAGGGCAAAACCGAUGACUGGGGCUAAGUCGUAACAAGGUAGCCGU